Long non-coding RNA from Dendroctonus ponderosae (mountain pine beetle), 3038 nucleotides. RefSeq lists it as uncharacterized. NCBI's taxonomy places the organism in Eukaryota, Metazoa, Arthropoda, Insecta, Coleoptera, Curculionidae. The record is from RefSeq and is a predicted model, not a curated record. The transcript is spliced from 4 exons.
UGAAAAAUCUUCUAUUUUCAUGCUAAUCACUGAUUACAAAUGGCCAUUUAAUAUUUCAGCUAUAUUUGAUAUAAACAAAUAUUGAAACAUGUCCAGACUAGCUAAAUAGCGCCUAUACAAAUUUAAAUGUAGUUCGUCCACUACUCCACUGGGCAGAUGGAAAAAAUGCUGUUUUAUUUCAGAAGCACUGCUAUUGGUCGAAAAAGAUCAAGUUUCAAGGACAAGGAACACCUCAAAGUUCCGAAAAAGCAAUCAAUCAGUCAGUCACAGCCUGUGACUCACAGGCCUGGUCACAUUAUAGAAAAUAUCGGAGACGGCUGUUACUGCUGUUCCUAAUAUUUUCUGUUCAUUGAAUAUUGCUAUUUGCCGAAUCAUGGGUGCAUGGAUUCGAAAAUCAUCAGGUCCCACGUCCUACUCCCAUACAUACAAAACCAUAGAAGUGCCAUAGAACAAGGCUUAUACAAACCUUACCACUUCAUGAGAAUAAAAUAUCUUCUCUCACUAAAACUCAGGCCAAUUGACAACGCCGCGGGGAAUUAAAAGGCACAAAGGCAGGCAGGUAUUUGCCUUUUUGCUUUGCUGAAAUAUCGAAAUCCCAGAUGUUGUAAUGGUACACAAAAUAUCCCCCUAGUCUAAAUAUGAAGUCAGGUAACUAAAAUUAAGUUUGUGUGUGUGUGCCUUUAAACAUUUUUAUAAUUUGGCAAAAAGUGGAUUGCUGUAAUUUCUUGAAACGUGCAUUAUUUUUGAAGCAAAAUUAACAUUUGAAGGUAUAAUCAGUGACAAAGUGGCAAAUGGUUAAAUUACUGUUUCAGUGCCUAGCAAAUUUUAGAAAAUGUCGAUACUAUUCUGAUGUACCUAAAUGGUCUGAUUGAUGAAAAAAAAUUAGAGCCACUUUGUCUUAUUGCCUCUAUGUUUUAGCAACAAAUUUUGAACAACUUUGGUCACAUAUAGAUUUACCUGACGUAUGGGAAUGCUCUCGAACAACACAGAGUCAAAGUUUUGUCGUUAAUAGUCCAGUAAGUUGUUCUGUUGGUAUUGAUUAUUUAUAUCAAAACUAUUUAUGUCUUCAGUAUGAAACCAGAUUGUCAUUACCAACUACUAGCAUUGUUGAAGAAAGUCAAAUUAAUCUUGAAUAGCCCAGUAAUCGUCUUAUUACUAUAGAUGGGGAAUGCUCUCGAACAACACAGAAUCAAAGUUUUGUCGUUAAUGGUCCAGUAAGUUGUUCUGUUGGUACUGAUAUAAAUAGUAUUCAGUAUGAAACCACAUUUUCAUUACCAAGUCCUAGCAUUGUUGAAGAAAGUCAAAUGAAUCUUGAAUGGCCCACCAAUCGUCGUAUUACUAUAGAUGGCACUCCAAAAUAUACCGAAGAGGUAUAUUAACUGAUGUUGGUGUAACCAGGAAAAAAAUGUUUACACCUAGAGCUCAACGAUUAUAUAAAACACUGAUCCGAUCAAAGUCAAAGAUAAGUAACAUGAGUAAAAAAAUGUAUGUAUAAAAACUAAUAGUGAUGCAGAUUUCAGAAACGCAACACGCCUACUCGAAAGCCUGCAGCGGCCGUACUUCACGUACACGCUGCAGGAAGAGAAGAAGCUGCAUGUAGUGAUUAGGGGGCUACCUAAUGACUACGACCCAGCAAACCAAAACUCUUGCAUACAUAUUAUGUAACCAAGUCGCACGCAUAGAUAAAGACGAGUAUGCAAAUAUUUGUGAUCCACACUGAACCGGUAACAAAAAAGAAAAUAUAAACUAUAUAUAAAUAUUAUCUUGUCAGAUUCAGAAAGCGCUAGAGAAUGGAUCUCUGAAUUCAAUGUAAAUACUAAAGUUUAUUUUUUGGUCUUCAGAGGAAAGUAUUCUGUAUUAUUGCAAUAGCUCAAGAUAUUAGUUUAGUUUGAGGGGAUAACCGGGUACAAAAUGUUAAAGGCUGAAAAGAUAGCUUGCUUUUAGCUAUGAGACUUAGUGUCAACUAAAUAACUAUUGAAUGCGUAAAGUAAGCACAUUAAAAGUGCUUCUUUAUGAUCACGGCAUCUGUGGAAAAAGUGCUUCUUUAUGAUCACGGCAUCUGUGGAAAAAGUGCCAGUUUUUGAUUCUUUCGAAUCAAACAAUUUUGUACCUGUUAUAAAUACAUGAUCAUUGUGCCAGUGAAGUUAUAAAGAAACUUUAACUGAAAACAAAAUUAUAGUAUAUACUUUCAUAAAAAACACGAGCGACUAUUUUAGUCAGGCUGAAAGGUAUAAUAACAGUGGUUCGUCUUUUAAAAUAAUAACAAAAGAAGUUGCUGUCUACACACUGGAUGAAAUUAAAUCAAACAAGUUUAUGUAAAAAAGUGUGUAUGUAUAUAUAAAAAGGUCAAGCGCUUUCGACAAUUACGUCAUCAUCAGCGCCAUCGUCUAAUUAAAAGUGAACAUCCUCAAGAGCACCAAACCGAACAUGUAAAACAAUAGUCAGAAAUGGUCUUGUAAUUGUAAGUGUAUUGUAGAAACAGACUGAAGUUGAAAUUAGAAUGAAAUUUAAUUAAGGAACUUGACUAGUCGGCCUUAACAGUAUGGCGACCAGUCUUAUACAUACAUACACACUUUUUUACAUAAACUUUUGAUUGAAUUUAAAUUAAUGCUGUUAUAAGACCAUUUUUGAUCCCAAUAUGUCAGAAAUAAGCAUUAUUUGAAUGAACAUAACAUUGAACAGUUGUAUGUAAUCAAAGUUCAUAAUGAAAUGCAUCCAGAAACAUGCCCAAACGUUUUGUAUCAAAGACUUCCUGAACAUCAGGAAUGAAUAAACUUUUGGCAGGAAGAGAAUAACUAAUUAAAAAUCUUGGAAAUUUAAUUUAUUGACUUAAAAUCCAUUUAACUUGCAACACAGUUAAACGCUGGCCAUAGAUUCUAGAAGUUCCUGUAACAAAAUAAAACAUGUUUUAGUUUUAUAAAUAAAUUACCGAAAAUUGUGCACAAUAUAAAUGAAAAACAUACUUCGCAAUAAGGCCGUCUCGCUUCGCGAGCCUGACAAUACAAUCAUCAGACUCUCCCAUCCUUCGAAUCGCUCCA